Cercocebus atys (sooty mangabey) is the source of this 2198-nucleotide RNA transcript. It is a transcript of the gene named mitochondrial carrier homolog 1 pseudogene, with no coding region annotated. The transcript has a single exon. Lineage: Eukaryota; Metazoa; Chordata; Mammalia; Primates; Cercopithecidae. The record is from RefSeq and is a predicted model, not a curated record.
CAAAGUGCUGGGGUUACAGGCAUGAGCCACUGCGCCUGACCAGCCAUACCUUAAUUUAAAUUUUAUAAGGUAUUACUGAUAGAUUUUAGCAAAGGUAAACACAAAGUAAUCAAUAUUAUUUCAUCUAGCAAAGAAGAUGAAGUGAAAGUUCUGUAAGGACAUCAACCAGAACAUAAAAUUAUUGAAUACUAAUGUUCUGAUACAGUUUCAUGGUCUGUAUUGUUAAUAAGAAAUAGAAGCAGUGUUGACAUUGAGUAUAGUUACUGUGUUACUUUAAAUUUAGAUAAAAUUAUUUAACCCCAAAAUAGAGUGAAAUAAUUUUAUACAUAUUCAGUCUAAUCAUAUCUUUGCGAUGGUAUUUUCUGUUGAUCUCGUUUGUGUUUGGUCAGUGGUAGCAAGGUAUCUGAUACUUAUUGUGAUUUCCAAUAGGCACCUCCUGUCAACGUAACUUUGCUCAUGUAAGUGCCUUAAGCUCUUUGCUGGUGGUGAAUAUGAUGACUGACAUUUCUGUCAUGUAGCUUCUGGAAUGUUGUUAGACAGGAGAUCCUUCAGAUGAGUAUAUGGGUAGCAUAUAUGCUCUGGAUCCAUGUUAUUGGACAGGAGAUCCUUCACGUGAGUGUAUGGAUAGUAUAUAUGCUCUGGAUCCAUGUUAUUAGACAGGAGAUCCUUCACAUGAAUAUAUGGGUAGCAUAUAUGCUCUGGAUCCAUGUUAUUACCCUCAUCCCCUUCCCCAUGGAAAACGUUCCUUUCCAUUCCCCUUUCAUCUAAAGAAGCUGCUGCUACAUCUGGAAAGCAGAGACAAGGUUAGGGUUAGGUGAUUUCUGAGCGAGCAUUGAAGUUUCGUUGUUUCUACAACUGUUCUAUUUUGUUAACGUGAGUCAUAACUUAAAAUGAUGUAAAUGCUAAUUAAACCAAUUGGCUUGAUGAAAGAAGCUUGCAUAUUGCAAAAAGAAAGUCUUAUUAGUGGUUGUUUAGAAAUACAAAGGAAAACUGUCAUACCACAGUUUGUGCUCCAAAAUUUAUUUUGUGAGUUUCUUUGAAUAGAAUUCUUUGUGUUCCUUAACCUUUUUGCUUUUCCUAAGAUUUGCCCUCUCCAAAUUUAAAUAAUAAAUGGCAACACUUGUCAACAUUUAGGGUAAACUGAAGAAAUACCAAUAGAGGUCAGUUGUAAUACAUAUGAGUUUUUUCUUUGAAAAAUAUUAUAUACUAAUUAAGUUGGUUGGCACGUGUAGCUAUUAAAGCUUAACAGAUGAGUUUUACGACAUGUUAUCAAAAUUCGAGGUAAUUUAGAACAACUUUGUUAAGAACUUGCUUUAAUUACGGAAGACCCAAACACAAAGCCUUAUGUGCUGGGGAGGAAAGUCCUCUUUCUGCCAAGCUUCUUCACCUAUGCCAAGUACGAUGUGCAAGUGGAUGGUAAGAUAGGGCUGUUCCGAGGCCUGAGGCCCCGGCUGAAGUCCAACGCCCUCUUUACUGUGACCUGGGUAGUAUGAAGAAGGUUUUCCCUCCAGAUGAGAUCUAGCAGGUUUCCAACAAGGAUGAUAUGAAGACUUCCCUGAAGAAAGUGGUGAAGGAGACCUCCUAUGGGAUAAUGAUGCAGUGCAUGUCCCGCAUGUUGGCCCACCCACUGUGUGUCAUCUCAAUGCGCUGGAUGGUCCAGUUUGUGGGAUGGGAAACCAAGUACAGUGGUGUGCUGAGCUCCAUUGGGAAACUUUUCAAAGAGGAAGGGCUGCUGGGAUUUGUUGGAUUAAUCCCUCACCUCCUGGGUGAUGUGGUUUUCUUGUGGGGCUGUAACUUACUGGCCCACUUCAUCAGUGCCUACCUGGUGGAUGACAGCUUCCACUAGGCCCUGGCCGUCCGGAGCCACACUAAGGGCUUGAUGGGGAUUGCAGUGAGCAUGCUGACCUACCCCUUCCUGCUAGUUGACGACUUCCUGGCUGUGAACAACUGCGGCCUGCAGGCUGGGCUCCCCUGUUACUCCCUGGUGUUCAAAUCCUGGAUUCACUGCUGGAAAUACCUCAGUAUGCAGGGCCAGCUCUUCCGAGGCUCCAGCCUGCUUUUCCGCUGGGUGUCAUCAGGAUCAUGCUUCGUCCUGGAGUAACCUGAAUCAUCUAAAAAACACGGUCUCAACCUGGCCACCGUGAGUGAGGCCUGACCAUCUCGGGAUACCUGCAAGAUGACUCCAACCCAACAACAAU